Molecule: unclassified non-coding RNA, 481 nt
Filed under: Hevea brasiliensis (rubber tree)
Lineage: Eukaryota; Viridiplantae; Streptophyta; Magnoliopsida; Malpighiales; Euphorbiaceae
Source: RNAcentral
CCCCCCCCCCCCCCCCCCCCAAAGUCUCCUUUUAGCGUAGCUUUUAACAUUUAUAAGAUAUCUUUCCCGCUUUUACUCCGCAGCAAAAGUGGGACGUUUAUGAGAACUCGAUUUGUUUGUCACUUUGAUGAUUGUUGAACAGAUGAAACUCAGGCAUACGCAUAAGUGUAGUGCACAUGGUGGCUGCUGCUGUUCCUCCAAUAUGUGCAUAUCCUAAAUAUGCAGCUGGUGCAACGAAUGGCAUUCAAUUUUUAAUGAAAUGGAAUAAAAUUCUUAUGGGCUCUGUUUGGAUAGGUGUGAUUUGGAUUUGUAUUUCAAGUGAAAAAUUAUAAAAUUUUGACAUGAUAUCAAAUUCAAACACUUCAUUAUUUGAAAUUCACACCUAUUCAAACGAAGAUUAUAUGAUUAUAUGCCAUUGUCAUUCUGUUGCAUUCUAUUUCAGGUUAUCAUAGUUUAUAACAUGCACUUAGUUGAUUGUUUG